AAUAACUAUUAAUCAGUUACGGUUAAUAUUAAAAUUAGUGAUUCAUAAUUAUUUAUCUAAUAUGAAUAAACAAAUUAAAUCCAAACAAUAUGAUGCUAUGAUUAUUAACAAUCAUGAUGACAUUUUAACUUGUUUAUAUAGUUUAUGUUUAAUAAGCACAAACAUAGGUUAUAAUAUAAAGGGUGUAGGAGACUCUAAAACAAAUUUAAAUCAUGACAUAAAACGGGUGAGCGAUUACGAAAAAAAUAGUUGUGCAUAUGAUGAUGGGUCCAAAGGAUUAUGUAAUAAUAAAUAUAACCAUGUCACUAUUUACAUACAGAUUUGUAUUGAUAUAUUAAGAUGUUAUUUUUAUGAAUUAUAUAGCAUAAAUACAGAUAAUAUAAAAAAAUAUAUUUUAACAAAUGAAGAAAAUAUUAUAAAAUUUUAUACGCUUUAUUUAUUUUUACAACUAAAUAAAAAUAAUAAUCUUAUUUAUGACACAAAUUUUGUUAAGCAAUUUUUAAAUGUCGAAAAAAUGACAAAAAAUGAAUUUUUUUUUUUUGAAAGCAUACUACCUAGUAAUCCAGAAUUAAACAAACAUCACGUAAAUUGUAAUACAAACUGUGAAGAAAACCUUGGUUAUACACAUAGUGAAUUGAAGAAAGAAAGAAAUAAAGAAAAAAAAAAAUUUAUUGUAGAUUAUGAAGAGAUAGUUAAUAAUAAAACAAAUAGUCAUGAACAUAAACAUGGGCGCGCAUAUAACAAUUUCCCAAGUGAACAAAAUUUUGUUUUCUCUAACAAUUAUAACAAAAACAAUUCAUUUCUUAAUAAUUCAUAUAUAAAUAAUAUAAAUAAUAAAAAUUUUUUAUCAAAUGAAAAUUUAGAUUUUUUUUAUUUAUUACAAAAAGGAAUUGAUCACAAUGAGAGAAAAAAAAACAAACAGAUUUUUUUAUUUUUUAAACAGCAUAAGAAAACAGUACCUACCUAUUCUACAUUAUUUAACAACUCGUUUAAUAAAGAAAUAAAAAAAGUAAAAGAACAUGUCUUAUUAAUUAAUAAACAAAUUAAAAGUUCCAAGUCUCACUUAAAAUUAUAUGAAUACAUAAAAAAUAUUUUACAAAAAAAAAUAAAAAAAAAUAUAUCUUUUAAAGAACAAAAUGUUAACAUAAAAAAUGAAUAUAUAAUUAAUAAAAACGAUUAUUAUUUUAUUGUGGAUAUUUAUGAUCAAAAUACCAAUACAAUUUUUGAAAUUAAUGGCAACAGUCAUUACACAAAACAACAUACCAAAUUGUUAAAUAAAUUAGGUAAUAAUACCAACUAUUUUUAUAAUUAUAAAUCUUACU
This 1322-nucleotide long non-coding RNA is filed under the name Piliocolobus tephrosceles (Ugandan red Colobus). Its description in RNAcentral is "lncRNA (ENSPTEG00000007319.1)". Lineage: Eukaryota; Metazoa; Chordata; Mammalia; Primates; Cercopithecidae. The record is from RNAcentral.